This 505-nucleotide ribosomal RNA is filed under the name uncultured bacterium. Its description in RNAcentral is "partial 16S ribosomal RNA". It matches the Rfam family "Bacterial small subunit ribosomal RNA", at positions 28 to 506 of the family's 1533-position model. The record is from RNAcentral.
GACGAACGCUGGCGGCGUGCCUAAUACAUGCAAGUCGAACGCAUUUUCUUUCACCGUAGCUUGCUACACCGAAAGAAAAUGAGUGGCGAACGGGUGAGUAACACGUGGUAAACUGCCCAUUAAGGGGGGAUAACACUUGGAAACCGGUUCUAAUACCGCAAUAUUCCAUUUUCUGCCUGGUAGAUGGAUGAAAGGCGCUUUUGCCUCACCGAUUGAUGGACCCGCGGGGCAUUAGCUAGUUGGUGGGGUAACGGCCUACCAAGGCGGCGAUGCAUAGCCGACCUGAGAGGGUGAUCGGCCACACUGGGACUGAGACACGGCCCAGACUCCUACGGGAGGCAGCAGUAGGGAAUCUUCGGCAAUGGACGCAAGUCUGACCGAGCAACGCCGCGUGAGUGAAGAAGGUUUUCGGAUCGUAAAACUCUGUUGUUAGAAAAGAACAAGGAUGAGAGUGGAAAGUUCAUCCCUUGACGGUAUCUAACCAGAAAGCCACGGCUAACUACGU